UGAACGCUAGCGGCGUGGAUUAGGCAUGCAAGUUGAGCGCGAAAGCAUGAUGAAGGAUCCUUCGGGUGACUGAUUCGGCGAGUAGAGCAGCGCAAGGGUGAGUAAUACAUGGCUAACAUACCCCAUACAUGAGAAUAACUAUUAGAAAUGAUAGCUAAUGCUCAAUAGUUUCUUAAGGCCGCAUGGUCUAAAGAAUAAAGGUAGGGAUCCUUCGGGACCUUCUGGUUUGGGAGUGGGUCAUGGGCUAUCAGCUAGUUGGUGAGGUAAAGGCUCACCAAGGCUAAGACGGCUAGGCGAUCUGAGAGGAUGAUCGCCCACAUCGGGACUGAGACACUGCCCGGACUCCUACGGGAGGCUGCAGUCGAGAAUCUUCCGCAAUGGGCGCAAGCCUGACGGAGCGACGCCGCGUGAGGGACGAAGGCUUUAGGGUCGUAAACCUCUUUCGCUUGUUAAGAAAAGUGUAUGUUAAUAGCAUGCACCCUGACAAAGGCAAGUAAAGAAGCACCGGCUAAAUCCGUGCCAGCAGCCGCGGUAAUACGGAUGGUGCAAGCGUUACUCGGAAUCACUGGGCGUAAAGCGUUCGUAGGUGGUUCAUUAAGUUGGAUGUGUAAUCCCCACGGCUCAACCCGUGGAACUGCGUUCAAAACUGAUGAACUAGAGAGCAGUAGGGGACAAAGGGAACUUCAGGUGGAGCGGUGAAAUGCGUAGAUAUCUGAAGGAACACCGAUGGCGAAAGCACUUGUCUGGGCUGAUUCUGACACUGAGGAACGAAAGCUAGGGUAGCGAACGGGAUUAGAUACCCCGGUAGUCCUAGCCGUAAACGAUGGAUACUAGCUUGUGGGAUCUUCGGAUUUCGCUUGCGUAGCUAACGCGUUAAGUAUCCCGCCUGGGGAGUAUGCACGCAAGUGUAAAACUCAAAGGAAUUGACGGGGGCUCACACAAGCGGUGGAGCAUGUGGUUUAAUUCGAAGCUACGCGAAGAACCUCACCCAGGUUUGACAUGGAUGAAUUAGGUCUGAGAAACCAGACUGACACCCUUCGGGGCGGAACAUUCACAGGUGUUGCAUGGCUGUCGUCAGCUCGUGUCGUGAGAUGUCGGGUUAAGUCCCUAAACGAGCGAAACCCCUAUUGUUAGUUGCUAACGAGUAAUGUCGAGGACUUUAACAAGACCGCCGUGGUUAACACGGAGGAAGGUGGGGAUGACGUCAAGUCAUCAUGGCCCUUAUACCUGGGGCUACACACGUGCUACAAUGGGCAGUACAGAGGGUUGCGAAGUCGUGAGGCUAAGCUAAUCCCUUAAAGCUGCUCCUAGUUCGGAUUGUAGGCUGAAACUCGCCUACAUGAAGCUGGAAUCGCUAGUAAUCGCGGGUCAGCAUACCGCGGUGAAUAUGUUCCUGAGCCUUGUACACACCGC
RNAcentral lists this ribosomal RNA (1413 nucleotides) under uncultured Planctomycetota bacterium. Its description in RNAcentral is "uncultured planctomycete 16S ribosomal RNA". It matches the Rfam family "Bacterial small subunit ribosomal RNA", at positions 30 to 1393 of the family's 1533-position model. The record is from RNAcentral. Lineage: Bacteria; Pseudomonadati; Planctomycetota.